Long non-coding RNA from Onychostoma macrolepis, 1227 nucleotides. RefSeq lists it as uncharacterized. The record is from RefSeq and is a predicted model, not a curated record. The transcript is spliced from 5 exons. NCBI's taxonomy places the organism in Eukaryota, Metazoa, Chordata, Actinopteri, Cypriniformes, Cyprinidae.
CCUUUAAUUGCCUACAUAGCCUAUAAGUGUUCAAGCGCACGCACAAAGCUUGUGUCAGUGAAAAACAGUAAGGAGGCUGCAUUUGUAAUGGGAUUAAAAUAAGGAAGUGGUGUUGGUAUAAGGAGGCAUUUUGAUAUGUGUGUAGGUAUGUUUUUAUUUUGUUAUUGAUUAGUGUUGAUGUAUUAUGGUUGCUCGUGCUGACGAACCCUUUGUGACAGACUAAUUUGGAUCCCAGUGUGAUAGGCUGGAAUAUGAAUGGGUGGAGAUUGUUGCCCUUUAAGAGCACGCUGCUGAGACUGAGACAGCGGGUUCUACAUGAUGACGAUCCAGCACGCGUUGGUUACAGUGUCGUGGUGCGUAGCCGUGGCAUGUGAGAAGGUGUAAGAAGAACGCGUGGUUAAGAGAACGCAGAAAAAACAACUCAAAGGAGUGUAUGGAAGGCGAUACAGAGGAAUCCCUCUACAACCGUGUUAGAAGUGUGAGUGGAUCGGGUUGCAGUGAGCAGACGACGACGCAGAGGAGUCACGUUUACACUGCUCGAAUUCGUCUAGACUGGGUAGCGGAACUGCUACCCGGUCCUAUUGUGAGUACGACUCCAUCAACUGGGUUAUUGAAGAGAGAUUGGUGGAUAAUGACUCUGUGCUUAUUCUAUAUCAAUUGACCUUUAACUAGUAGAGACUGUGAUAACUAAUUGCCAGUGGACUAGCCAAUAAUUUUCUUUUGUGUUAGUGUUGUGAAACGAGGUUUUGAGUGUUUAUUGUGCUGUGACUGGUUAUUGGGUGCACUUGUUUGAUGGGUUAAAUUGGACCGGGAUACUGGCAGUUGCUUCUAUCUGUUUUCCGGUGUGCUACUGCCAAAAGCUGUGGAGGUUCCUUUGACUGUGGGACCGAAUCAAGGAGGACGCAGCCUUCUAAAUGAGACACAGCCUAUAUAAGCUGCGGUCGUCACGUGACGCGCACAGCCGGACUCUGAUGGACGUCGCCUGACGGAGAGCUUUCACGAGAUUGUCAUCCGAUUGAUCUGCUGCACCCCAAAGCCUCCACAGCACAGUCACAAGUCUUUGGCUUUUGUGCUGGAUGGAGAAACUGAGAAGUUUAUAAACAGAUGGCAUGGAAGAAGAGAGCAGGUCCUAAAACAAAGAAAUUCUUCUUAAGGAUAAACCUGAGGUCCUGGGAGUUCUUAGAGGUUCUAAAGUGUUUUUUAUGCAUUUGUUGAUUUCAAUAAUAA